Molecule: unclassified non-coding RNA, 351 nt
Filed under: Hevea brasiliensis (rubber tree)
Lineage: Eukaryota; Viridiplantae; Streptophyta; Magnoliopsida; Malpighiales; Euphorbiaceae
Source: RNAcentral
AAAAAUCGCCAUCGUUGACACUGCGAAGAAUCGUGAAAUGACUUACUGCUAUGGAUGUAAACCACGCCCUUCCGGUCCACUACCCGGCCCUAUCCUUGUACUUCUCGCCGUAGUUUUCAUCUUGAUCGGAUUGUCCUCCCUGUUCCCCUCCGAACCAAUCGACUUCUCCGAAUUCCAGAUCAACUGGCCUCUUCUCGCUGUUCCGAUCAUCAUUCUUGUUCUUGUUCGCUGUUUGUCGUCCAUGGAUUCUUCAUCCAGGUACUAUGCCUGCGCUUGCGAUCGCGGCUGGAAGAUGAACUGUCGGUGCGGCCGUGGCGGCGCGUGGUAACUGGUAAACCUAAUUUAAUUGAA